Urocitellus parryii (Arctic ground squirrel) is the source of this 1041-nucleotide non-coding RNA. NCBI's taxonomy places the organism in Eukaryota, Metazoa, Chordata, Mammalia, Rodentia, Sciuridae. The record is from RefSeq and is a predicted model, not a curated record.
CCGGCCAGGGAGUUGCUACAUCACCGAACUGCGCCUGGAACACCCAAGGAGCCCCUUCUUAACGUCGGGCCACCCUGUCCGAGCUGCGCUUAUUGUUGGGACACCACUGCCCUCUCCCGGAGGUAAACGCAGGUAGAAUUUGCUGAGUCCUGAGACUCGGUCUGCUUACAUCCCUCCACUGGGGAGACAGUCCCACAAGCUCUGGCAGAAAGAGUUCGUGGAAAAGGCUACUCGAACCACCGAAACUAAUGGGAAAUGUAGUCCACGGUUAAAAAAAAAAAAGCAGACGACCCGCCAAAAUCGGUUGGUCCUGGCGGGUUCAGAGCCCGGCGUGGCAGAGCCCAGCGGCCCUCUGGGAACGCUAACCCGCCUCAGGAGUGCGCAGGCGCAGAACUUCUGGCUCGCCAUCGUCUUUGUCUGCUGCACUCAUAGCACUGUCAAGCCAGGUUUUAAGGCUCUCACCAUCUGAGUAGGAGAAAAGCCUCUGAGCCAGAUAUUUCAUGAAUCUCCAGGAGCUGCGUUCUCUUUAUCUUUGAAAACCUUUGAGGAUUUUAAGAACUCAGCCUGAAUUCUAGCAUGCUGCUUUGACUCCCAACCAUAAUCGCAGAUUCUGUGUCACUUUGUUUCUUUACAAGUUUAAAGUCACCAGUUAAAACAAAAAGAUCAAUGGAUGAUCGAGAAGAAGUAUAAAGAGUUCUCUAGAGCUGGGCCUUCCAUGAAAUUGAGGCAGUAUAACGGCCCCUCUUCAAACCUUGAUUUUUAAUAAACCUGAGAAGUUUAUAAACAAAUAAAGAUACAACRUGAAAGACUUGAGAGUGAAGUCUCAUUGUUCUCUGUGAAAAUAUAGACUGAGGAAACAAAAUAGUAUUUCCUUGGAGCACAGCAUUGAUUCUUCAAGACUACACUUCUGUGUAUGGGACUCAGUUUAAGAAAAGUUGAAUCAUAAUUUAUGCUUAAAUAUGCAAGAAGCAGUAUAAGAAAGAACCAUUGACUUGGGGUUGUGGCUCAGUUGUAGAGCGCUUGCCUAGCAUGCAUGUGGCA